This 586-nucleotide ribosomal RNA is filed under the name uncultured bacterium. RNAcentral's name for it is "bacterial SSU rRNA". It matches the Rfam family "Bacterial small subunit ribosomal RNA", at positions 338 to 916 of the family's 1533-position model. The record is from RNAcentral.
CCUAUGGGAGGCAGCAGUGGGGAAUUUUGGACAAUGGGGGCAACCCUGAUCCAGCAAUGCCGCGUGAGUGAAGAAGGCCUUCGGGUUGUAAAGCUCUUUUGUCAGGGAAGAAACGGGUGGGGCUAAUAUCCUCAUCUAAUGACGGUACCUGAAGAAUAAGCACCGGCUAACUACGUGCCAGCAGCCGCGGUAAUACGUAGGGCGCAAGCGUUAAUCGGAAUUACUGGGCGUAAAGCGUGCGCAGGCGGUUAUGUAAGUCAGAUGUGAAAUCCCCGGGCUCAACCUGGGAACUGCAUUUGAGACUGCAUGGCUAGAGUGUGUCAGAGGGGGGUAGAAUUCCACGUGUAGCAGUGAAAUGCGUAGAUAUGUGGAGGAAUACCGAUGGCGAAGGCAGCCCCCUGGGAUAACACUGACGCUCAUGCACGAAAGCGUGGGGAGCAAACAGGAUUAGAUACCCUGGUAGUCCACGCCCUAAACGAUGUCUACUAGUUGUCGGGACUUAAUUGUCUUGGUAACGCAGCUAACGCGUGAAGUAGACCGCCUGGGGAGUACGGUCGCAAGAUUAGAACUCAAAUGAAAUUGACGG